CGUGUUGUGGUAUUCUAUCACAACGUGCAAUUUUACCCGGAAGAUCUACCAAGAACAUUGGUUUCCUCGUUCCCGGCGAACCCUCUCUACUUUACGUUGGAUUCCGACAUUCGCUACCAACCCAGUCUUGUCCCGGCUUGGGCUAUUAGCCGUUUCCACCUUGACAUUGGGACUUUUAAGUUGCCAACAAGAGUGCCUACAUAUCACAACCUAAUUGUGUUUUUCUCCUAUCGUUUUCCUCCUUGCCAGGAUGCUGGUGGGCUCAUUACCAUUGGCGAUGUGACUCUAGAUCCCCACUCAACCUCCAACGCUCCUAUGUGAUCCCUGUACCUUUUAGAAAACCAGUUUUUCUGAUGCGAAUUACUGUCCCAGUUGGGGUUCAUCUUUUUCGUUACCGUCAUCUUUAUGUACCAUACCGUAAGUGCCGUACGUUACCGGAAUCUUUAAGUAGUAUGUGCAAUCUCAGUACUUCAAACACAUUCGUAACUACAACAAGAGGGGACAGGAUGAUGUGAAGCUCACCUAACCUUAAAAUACAGAGGGGUGUUUUAGGCUGAGGCGCUUUAAAACCAGUUGCCUUCAUCGUUUAAAGCAGAACUAGCUAGUAAAACCUCCCACAAAAAAAUUGAGAGGCUACUUAAAAAGGAAGUGCUUCUAUCCAAUUCUAGAAUAUGAAAACUUUAACUGUAAACUUAAGCUAGGGUAAAACUGUCUUGUUUUUCCGUAUGCAUGCAAUGAUAAUAUUCAACUAUUACCAUUUCUGUUAAUAUUAGAUUAUGACUCUUUCUAGUACUGUAAAAGAAUUUGACAUGUGUGAUAGCCGAGUCUUGAGUACCAGAAUUGUUAACGCAUUAACUGCUGUGGUUUGCCUUGUUAUAACUGCGGUUGCAGCAAGUUGAUGGGCAUGAAAAACUUGCAAGUAUGAUAGAUAUCGCUCAAGGUAGCUGUAGCGUCAUUUCUCAGAUGCGGGUGUAACAUAAAGUUCACAUGUGCUUUCUCCACUCAACAGUGAUGAUUUGAGAAUGGCUUUCGCAAGUGUCGGUUCCAAGGUACCAGCAAGGCAGUUAACAUGUUAAAUAUAAAUAAAUAAAAUAAAAAUCCUGUAAUACUCAGGAUUAUAACAAAAAUCGCAUGUGUUCCUAUGAGUGAACUGAUGGAUUGUUCUACCGCAAAACUUGUUCUUUUGAUAUCCAAUAAAUCAAGUUUCUAUUGUAUCCGGAAACCUAAUAAGUACAUCAAAAUAAUGAAUAUAGAGACUAUUUCAAAAUUUUGGCACUUACAAUGGUAGAUACAAUGAUACAUAACAGGAACAGAGGAAAUACUCACAGAUCAUCAGAGGCUUUAAAAUCCAAGAAACAAAGAGCUAUUUUCAAGCAUCGCAAGAAUUCAGGCGAUAGAUUACCAUUGAUAAUCCUGUCCAUAGCAUCGAUAUGGAAAUGGUAGAAUCCAAGGCUGAUCUGAAUGUCUUCUUUUGUUACUUUUUUGCUAAUUCAGCAAACACAGCCUAGAAAUAUGUUUUCAAUUUAAUGAUAAAUUAAGAGUUUUCACCUCAAAAUUUUGGUACAAAUAUUUCUUUAGCUCACAUUUCUAUCAAUGAUUAAUGACUGAUGUGUUUUUCCAAGAUCCAGUUUCAUUGCACUGAAAACUGAGAAAUUGUGUGCAAUCUUUUUCUUCUUAAAGUAAGAGUGGCACUGCAAAGUUGGGUAAACUUGUUGAAAGAAAUUUAUUCUAUGCUAUUUUCCAACCCAGCAAGUUACUUGAUAUCCACUAUUGGAGAUGCAUUUUAAAAAUCCACACUUGAGCAAAAUUGGCAAAAGUUAAGAAGUUCUUUGAUUUUUUUAACUUGAAAAACACCUGAGUUUUUUUUACUACAAACACAAAAAUAUAAAAAUAUUCCUUGAAAUUGGAUUUUUCUAUCAUAUUUUCUGGAUUAUCUUGACGUUGUUCUGGACAAAUUAACUUCCCCAUAUUUCAACUUUCAGAUUUUGUUUGGUGUAAAUUGGUUAAAGAAGCAGCAUGAAUACAACAUAAAUUUUUGUUUUGACGUAACAAUAGAUGAGUCUUCUUUAUUUGUGAUUCUCCGAGAGAAAAUAGAUCUCACUUGCAUGGAGACGAAGUAUUUUAGAGAGCUUUUGGUCAAAAUUGUCCUGAGCGCAGCAGCUGAAUUAACUUGUCUACGGACAAGAAUGGGCUGGAGGGUGUGAGGUUGCGUUUCAAUACGAUAAGUUUGAGUCUUGAAGAAACCAGGUCAAAAAAGAUAGUUUUCUCUCAAAAUUAAAUUUAUCAACAGCAAUUUCAAACCUAGAAACUUUGGUUGAACUCAGGUUUUGUUUGAAAUUUUGAGGUAUUUUUUUUUUGCCAAAAUGUUUUACAGAAUAUUCCUAUGACCUGUCUUGAUUUUAGUUUUUCGGCAGUGAGGUCCAUUCCCCUUCGACGAUCACAAAUAAUUUUGAAUUACUCUUAAUCUCGAAUUUCUUUCUGCCAUCUGAAAAUCGAGGGAAGCUCCUCUAUAGUUCCUCACCUUUGCAUUAUUCAGGAGCUUCAAAGAAGUUGAACGUCUAAAGAUCGUGAUUAAGAAUCGCAACAAACAUUCAAAGAAAAUUUCAGGUUUCUCUUUCUGAUUGAAAAGGACGGCUAGGGUUGCUAUUAAAGCCUUCUGGAAAACUGAAUUCUCCGCUUGUUCGACUGCAACAUCGAGCAGGCCAAAGAGCAUACGGAAGGAUACUAAUCCAGGAAUCAAAAGACACUCUGAAAACUCUGCCCACAACUCCGCCAUCAUAUUUGUUGUGGUGUCAUCUUGGAAGGGUACCAUGUGUUUUUUGAUAAAGUGAAGGAGAGAGAGAUCCAUAGUCUUUCUUGUCUCUUGGUCAACUAGUUCUUCGAGCAAUUUCUUCUCGGAGAGCAGUUUCAUGAUGCGAAAACUAGAUGUGAAAGACUGCAAGAGAGAAAUAAUGAGAUUGUAAGAUUCAGCUUUGAACAAAAUCUUUUACAGCCUUGAUAAGUAAAAAUUCUUGAAUGAGGGACACUUUGCAAGUAUUUCUCUUUUAACACUAAUGAUUAACAUCUUGCGCUGGCAUGUUAACCAAAACUAUCAACAAAUUUUUAAAAAAUCGGCGCUCCCUCUGAUUUCUGCCUGACAUCUUACAGUGUUAAACUCACUCCCUCCCCUUGUCAUGCCAG
This 3180-nucleotide long non-coding RNA is filed under the name Bemisia tabaci. Its description in RNAcentral is "lncRNA ENSSSA3NGG001803". The record is from RNAcentral. Lineage: Eukaryota; Metazoa; Arthropoda; Insecta; Hemiptera; Aleyrodidae.